Molecule: long non-coding RNA, 485 nt
Organism: Arachis stenosperma
Lineage: Eukaryota; Viridiplantae; Streptophyta; Magnoliopsida; Fabales; Fabaceae
Exons: 2
Source: RefSeq, a predicted model, not a curated record
UCUUCAAACCCACUCAUUCAUUUUCCUUUUUUCCUUGAAAUUUCUUAUUACAAUAUAUAACAUACCGUUCUAGUUCUCUCUCUAUCUCUUUCAACUAACAACUCCUAAUUCUCAAUUCUCUCUUUGUUUGUUGAAGAUGAAGCCUUUUACGCUUUUCUCCUUCUCGCUUCUGAGUUUGGUGCUUUCCGUAGUCGCUGGUUUGGGCCAAGCCCAGCAACUCACUCCUUCCUCUUCUCCUGCUCCUGCUCCUUCAAGUGAUGCAGGCACUUCCCUUGAUCAAGGAAUUGCUUAUCUUCUUAUGCUGGUGGCGCUGGCAAUCACAUACAUGUUCCAUUGAUCUAUAGCUAAUUACUUACUUCUAAUGCAAUUAUUUUGGGGGAUGUUUCCCCUGAAGAUUCUUCAGUUGAGAAAAAUUUUGUAUUUUCUUUUUUCCAGAGCACUGUAAUUAUGAUUUAUGAAUGAAUUCUUCAUUGCUCUUCCGUUUA